RNAcentral lists this ribosomal RNA (481 nucleotides) under uncultured bacterium. Its description in RNAcentral is "partial 16S ribosomal RNA". It matches the Rfam family "Bacterial small subunit ribosomal RNA", at positions 28 to 507 of the family's 1533-position model. The record is from RNAcentral.
GACGAACGUUGGCGGCGUGCUUAAUACAUGCAAGUCAACUGAAGCAGUGGUAGCAAUAUCGCUGUGGAGGUGGCGCACGGGUGAGUAACACGUAGGUAAUCUGCCUUCAGGUCUGGCAUAACUCCGGGAAACCGGAGCUAAUAGCAGAUGAUGCAGCGGCUCGACAUCGAGACAGUUGUUAAAGCUAUGGCGCCUGAAGAUGAGCCUGCGUCUGAUUAGCUAGUUGGCGGGGUAACGGCCCACCAAGGCAACGAUCAGUAGCUGGUCUGAGAGGAUGAUCAGCCACACUGGAACUGAGACACGGUCCAGACUCCUACGGGAGGCAGCAGUAAGGAAUAUUGCUCAAUGGGAGAAAUCCUGAAGCAGCAACGCCGCGUGAGGGACGAAGGGCUUUUGCUUGUAAACCUCUGUAGUGAGAGAAAAAAAUCCCAAUCUUUGGGACAUGAUGGUAUCUCAAAAGUAAGCCCCGGCUAACUACGUG